CUACGGGCGGCUGCAGUGAGGAAUUUUGCGCAAUGGGGGAAACCCUGACGCAGCAACGCCGCGUGAGUGAAGAAGGCCUUUGGGUCGUAAAGCUCUGUCAACAGGGAAGAAAUUAAUGACAUUUAAUAGAUGUUGUUAUUGACGGUACCUGUGGAGGAAGCGCCGGCUAACUCCGUGCCAGCAGCCGCGGUAACACGGGGGGCGCAAGCGUUAUUCGGAAUUAUUGGGCGUAAAGGGCGCGCAGGCGGUCUUGUCCGUCAGGUGUGAAAGCUCGGGGCUCAACCCCGGAAGUGCACUUGAAACAGCAAGACUUGAAUACGGGAGAGGAAAGCGGAAUUCCUGGUGUAGAGGUGAAAUUCGUAGAUAUCAGGAGGAACACCGAUGGCGAAGGCAGCUUUCUGGACCGAUAUUGACGCUGAGGCGCGAAGGCGUGGGGAGCGAACGGGAUUAGAUACCCCCGUAGUC
This 465-nucleotide ribosomal RNA is filed under the name uncultured bacterium. RNAcentral's name for it is "partial 16S ribosomal RNA". It matches the Rfam family "Bacterial small subunit ribosomal RNA", at positions 339 to 795 of the family's 1533-position model. The record is from RNAcentral.